GACGAACGCUGGUGGCGUGCUUAACACAUGCAAGUCGAACGAUGAAGCCGGAGCUUGCUCCGGUGGAUUAGUGGCGAACGGGUGAUUAACACGUGAGCAAUCUGCCCUUGACUCUGGGAUAACUGCGGGAAACUGUAGCUAAUACCGGAUACGACACCUUGGGGCAUCCCAGGGUGUGGAAAGAAUUUCGGUCAAGGAUGAGCUCGCGGCCUAGCAGGUGGUUGGUGAGGUAAUGGCUCACCAAGGCGACGUCGGGUAGCCGGCCCGAGAGGGGGACCGGUCACACUGGAAUGGAGUCAAGGUCCAUACUCCUUCGUGAGAGAGCGGUGGGGAUUAUUGCCCAGUGGGAGAAAGCCUGAUGCAGCAACGCAGAGUGAGGGAUGAAGGCGUUCGGGUUGUACACCUCUUUUAUCAGCGAAGAAGCGAAAAUGACGGUACCUGCAGAAAAAGCACCGGCUAACUACGUGCCAGCCGCCGCGGUAA
This 483-nucleotide ribosomal RNA is filed under the name uncultured bacterium. RNAcentral's name for it is "partial 16S ribosomal RNA". It matches the Rfam family "Bacterial small subunit ribosomal RNA", at positions 28 to 523 of the family's 1533-position model. The record is from RNAcentral.